This 380-nucleotide unclassified non-coding RNA is filed under the name fungal sp. RNAcentral's name for it is "partial internal transcribed spacer region". The stretch from base 1 to 46 matches the Rfam family "Eukaryotic small subunit ribosomal RNA", at positions 1786 to 1831 of the family's 1831-position model. The record is from RNAcentral. Lineage: Eukaryota; Fungi.
AAGUCGUAACAAGGUUUCCGUAGGUGAACCUGCGGAAGGAUCAUUAACACGUAUCCAACGUUAAACCGCUCUUGCAGCCCGUCUUCCUCCAGCAAUCCCUAGUAAAUCAUGGCGAACAGUUUGAUUUAGGGACUUCUGAGUCACGAGAAAUUACAGUUGCAAUUGUAGCGGUAGUGCAAGCAAUCUCAGCUUCUCCUGGGUCCUUUGGUGAAUUGAAAAGUGUCAUCAGAGAUCGCCGACGAGAAGGCCCUACGGCUUCACUGGAGGACAUCACGUCCGGUGACUAGAUGCUCGGGUCCCCAUGCCCCCUUACAACCCCAUGUCUCGCAGCCGGGUCGCGAUAAUACGCUUGACUGUUAACAAUGGAUAUCUUGGUUCUC